Molecule: ribosomal RNA, 467 nt
Filed under: uncultured bacterium
Lineage: Bacteria
Description: partial 16S ribosomal RNA
Rfam family: Bacterial small subunit ribosomal RNA
Source: RNAcentral
GACGAACGCUGGCGGCGUGCUUAACACAUGCAAGUCGAACGGAAAGGCCCUGCUUUUGUGGGGUGCUCGAGUGGCGAACGGGUGAGUAACACGUGAGUAACCUGCCCUUGACUUUGGGAUAACUUCAGGAAACUGGGGCUAAUACCGGAUAGGAGCUCCUGCUGCAUGGUGGGGGUUGGAAAGUUCGGCGGUUGGGGAUGGACUCGCGGCUUAUCAGCUUGUUGGUGGGGUAGUGGCUUACCAAGGCGUUGACGGGUAGCCGGCCUGGGAGGGUGACCGGCCACAUUGGGACUGAGAUACGGCCCAGACUCCUACGGGAGGCAGCAGUGGGGAAUAUUGCACAAUGGGCGGAAGCCUGAUGCAGCAACGCCGCGUGCGGGAUGACGGCCUUCGGGUUGUAAACCGCUUUCGCCUGUGACGAAGCGUGAGUGACGGUAAUGGGUAAAGAAGCACCGGCUAACUACGUG